This 98-nucleotide non-coding RNA is filed under the name bovine gut metagenome. RNAcentral describes it as "THF riboswitch". It matches the Rfam family "THF (Tetrahydrofolate) riboswitch aptamer". Rfam says of the family: THF riboswitch presents a pseudoknot that joins P1-P2 and the loop of P3 and two THF binding. RNAcentral also lists the same sequence under 1 other name. The record is from RNAcentral.
GCAGAGUAGGCUUUGAAGCGUUAAGUGCCCGGUAAACAGGAAGUUGUUAUCGGGACGAAAAGAUGCAGUCUUGCGAUUUCAUUGCCGCAUUCCGCUGC